Acanthosepion pharaonis is the source of this 105-nucleotide non-coding RNA. Lineage: Eukaryota; Metazoa; Mollusca; Cephalopoda; Sepiida; Sepiidae. The record is from the annotation of a GenBank genome assembly.
AUAUCACGUUGAAACACCGGUUCUCGGCCGAUCACCGAAGUUAAGCAAUAUUGAGACUGGUCAGUACCUAGAUUGGUAACCGCUCGGUAAUACUAAGUUCUGUAA